GAGCUUAAGAAAAAAAAGAGAUACCAGGAUCUUAAAGGUGGUUUUCCCAGGACGAGACGUAUCCAUUGUACUCCAGAUGUGCUGACCCCUGCGAUUUCCUCAAAUGUGGGAAACUCGACUGCAUAAUUUGUGGUCAUGGGGGACUGCGUUCGUACUCUGCCCUG
Small nuclear RNA from Echinops telfairi (small Madagascar hedgehog), 164 nucleotides. Its record names the gene U1. It matches the Rfam family "U1 spliceosomal RNA". Rfam says of the family: U1 is a small nuclear RNA (snRNA) component of the spliceosome (involved in pre-mRNA splicing). Its 5' end forms complementary base pairs with the 5' splice junction, thus defining the 5' donor site of an intron. The record is from Ensembl. Lineage: Eukaryota; Metazoa; Chordata; Mammalia; Afrosoricida; Tenrecidae.